RNAcentral lists this ribosomal RNA (466 nucleotides) under uncultured bacterium. RNAcentral describes it as "partial 16S ribosomal RNA". It matches the Rfam family "Bacterial small subunit ribosomal RNA", at positions 28 to 507 of the family's 1533-position model. The record is from RNAcentral.
GACGAACGCUGGCGGCGUGCUUAACACAUGCAAGUCGAACGGAAAGGCCCUGCUUGCAGGGUACUCGAGUGGCGAACGGGUGAGUAACACGUGGGUGAUCUGCCCUGCACUUCGGGAUAAGCUUGGGAAACUGGGUCUAAUACCGGAUAGGACCGCACUUUAGUGUGUGUGGUGGAAAGUUUUUUCGGUGUAGGAUGAGCUCGCGGCCUAUCAGCUUGUUGGUGGGGUAAUGGCCUACCAAGGCGGCGACGGGUAGCCGGCCUGAGAGGGUGUACGGCCACAUUGGGACUGGGAUACGGCCCAGACUCCUACGGGGGGCGGCAGUGGGGAAUAUGGCACAAUGGGCGCAAGCCUGAUGCAGCGACGCCGCGUGGGGGAUGAAGGCCUUCGGGUUGUAAACUCCUUUCGCUAGGGACGAAGCUUUGUUGUGACGGUACCUAGAUAAGAAGCCCCGGCUAACUACGUG